Molecule: long non-coding RNA, 1053 nt
Filed under: Scophthalmus maximus (turbot)
Lineage: Eukaryota; Metazoa; Chordata; Actinopteri; Pleuronectiformes; Scophthalmidae
Description: lncRNA (ENSSMAG00000031381.1)
Source: RNAcentral
UUCACCAGGAGAGACAAUCAAUCAGCUGUUUCACCAGGAGAGACAACCAAUCAGCUGUUCCACCAGGAGAAUCCACCAAUCAGCUGUUCCACCAGGAGAGACCACCAAUCAGCUGUUUCACCAGGAGAAACCACCAAUCAGCUGUUACACCAGGUGAGACCACCAAUCAGCUGUUUCACCAGUGGAGACCACCAAUCAGCUGUUUCACCAGGAGAGACAAUCAAUCAGCUGUUUCACCAGGAGAGACCACCAAUCAGCUGUUUCACCAGUGGAGACCACCAAUCAGCUGAUUCACCAGGAGAGACCACCAAUCAGCUGUUUCACCAGGAGAAACAAUCAAUCAGCUGUUUCACCAGGAGAAACAAUCAAUCAGCUGAUUCACCAGGAGAAACAAUCAAUCAGCUGAUUCACCAGGAGAGACAAUCAAUCAGCUGUUUCACCAGUGGAGACCACCAAUCAGCUGUUUCACCAGGAGAGACAACCAAUCAGCUGUUUCACCAGGAGAGACAACAAAUCAGCUGUUUCACCAGGAGAGACCACCAAUCAGCUGAUUCACCAGGAGAGACAAUCAAUCAGCUGUUUCACCAGGAGAGACAACCAAUCAGCUGUUCCACCAGGAGAAUCCAUCAAAUUAGCUGUUCCACCAGGAGAAUCCACCAAUCAGCUGUUUCACCAGGAGAGACCACCAAUCAGCUGUUUCACCAGGAGAGACAACCAAUCAGCUGUUUCACCUGGAGAAACCACCAAUCAGCUGUUUCACCAGGAGAGACAAUCAAUCAGCUGUUUCACCAGGAGAGACCACCAAUCAGCUGUUUCACCAGUGGAGACCACCAAUCAGCUGAUUCACCAGGAGAGACCACCAAUCAGAUGUUUCACCAGGAGAGACCACCAAUCAGCUGUUUCACCAGGAGAGAUAAUCAAUCAGCUGUUUCACCAGGAGAGACCACCAAUCAGCUGUUUCACCUGGAGAAACCACCAAUCAGCAGUUUCACCAGGAGAGACAAUCAAUCAGCUGUUUCACCUGGAGAAAAAAGUUAUGUGCUGUAUCAAUAA